CUUUUUUUUUCUUAAUUGACAUUCAGAUCACUGUAAGACACUGGAAAGGUGGUAAUAGCAGAUGGUCAGUGGGCGAUGUGUGAUGGGAAUCUGAAAAACUUUUGCCACUCCACUGAAGGAUAAGGGCAGAGCAAUGAUCAGCAAGGUGUAAGGCAACUGGAUAUUGUCACAAAAAUCCUCCACAGAGAAAACAUAAAAGGAUGCCACCCCUGCACUCUGCUAGCAAGCUAUGCUGAACUAGCAGGUGUUUCUCCUAAGGACCACGGAGCAGCUGACCCCCUCCAGGUAGCUCAUAAGAG
Molecule: long non-coding RNA, 299 nt
Organism: Corapipo altera (White-ruffed manakin)
Lineage: Eukaryota; Metazoa; Chordata; Aves; Passeriformes; Pipridae
Exons: 3
Source: RefSeq, a predicted model, not a curated record